Small nuclear RNA from Camelus dromedarius (Arabian camel), 174 nucleotides. Its record names the gene U2. It matches the Rfam family "U2 spliceosomal RNA". From Rfam's summary of the family: U2 is a small nuclear RNA (snRNA) component of the spliceosome (involved in pre-mRNA splicing). Complementary binding between U2 snRNA (in an area lying towards the 5' end but 3' to hairpin I) and the branchpoint sequence (BPS) of the intron results the bulging out of an unpaired adenosine, on the BPS, which initiates a nucleophilic attack at the intronic 5' splice site, thus starting the first of two transesterification reactions that mediate splicing. The record is from Ensembl. Lineage: Eukaryota; Metazoa; Chordata; Mammalia; Artiodactyla; Camelidae.
UUCACCUUAAAAUAUUUAAAAAUAAUUUUAUCAGUUUAAUAUCUGAUACGUCCUCUAUCUGAGGACAAUAUAUUAAAUGGAUUUUUUGGGGCAGGGAGUUGGAAUAAGAGCUUGCUCCAUCCACUCCACGCAUCGACCUGGUACUGCAGUACUUCCAGGAAUGGUGCACCAAAA